UCCUGGUUUCAAAAUUUACUACAAAGCUACAGUAAUCAAAAGUAGCAUACAGACAGACAUAUAGACAAAUGGAAUAGAAUAGAUGGCCCAGAAAUAAACCCUCACAUAUAUGGUCAAAUGAUUUUUGACAAUGUUCCAAGACUAUUCAAUGGAGAAAGGAUGGCCUUUUCAACAAAUGAAGUUGGGAAAACUGGAUAGCCACAUGCAAAAGAAUAAAGUUGAACCCUUACUUACACCACAUACAAAAAUUAUUUCAAAAUGGAUCAAAGACCGAAAUGUAAGACCUGAAACUAUAAAACUCUUGGAGGAAAAUAUAAAGGAAUUCAGUGGCACUGGGCUGGGGACGCCUACACUUGGGGCCCACCGGAACAGGGAAGAUGUCCUAACGACCCCCCUCGGCACCCUGACUUACUCUGGCUGGCUCACAGGAUGCUGAAAGGAAAGGUCUCUGUCCAGCUCAGCCUGUUGGUCGUCUUGUUAUUUUCUCCAUCUGUGCUGACGAGGAGACAACCAGGAAGCACUGAAGGGACCCGGGCCAAGAUCGUGGGCAGCGUGAUCCCACCCGCUAAGCCUUCACUUUUCUCCUCUCAGGAUGUGGUGCUGUCGAGGGGCCACGGGGCAAGCACGAGCAUCUUCCUGAGAAGAGAGGCACCCUGGCUCCCUCGACAUUUGACAGUGCACCUCAGGGAGGGCUGACCCUGCUCAGAAGUCGUCCAUCCCGUUCCCAGGUGGAACCGGCAGCACGUCAGCUGCCAGCAGAGAGGGAGCAGUGCAAACCUACGCACAGGAAGUUGGGCAGGAUGUGCUUGGGCCCUGGCCUGCCAAGAUUCCAAGGAAAGCCUGAGCAUAUUUCAGGAGUGGGAAGGACACUGUGCAGAGCCUGGGCCUGUUUCUAGGAGAAGGAGAGGAGAUAUUCCCAAUGUGGAGUGAGAAUAGAGGACGAACGAAGGGAAUGCCUGAGGGGAUGGCAGGGAGGUUGAGACCUGUGGAGAGCCCUGAACACCAGGAACCAACGUUCAGAUAAGUGUAAACGCUGUCCCACUGUUGUUCCUUCUACAGGAAGGCGAGACAGGCUGGACGAUUCUUUCCCCGCUCUGUCUUUUGGGAGAGGUUUCCCUUUGUCAUGACGCUGCGCACUUGGUGUAAGCAGAUCCAGAUGCUGAGGACAUGCCCAGCCUCACCUGGCUCCCCUCAAGGCUGCGGUGUGCCCAUCUAGUUUUCUUAAGCAAUCAGCGCCAGACAGCUGAGACAGAUGCGCAGCAUUCUCCCCAGGUCAAGAGAGCGAGUUGGGCACCUAGAGGGAUCUCUAGGGCAGCGAGACAUCUGCAUGCUUUCUAGUGUGUCCUGACUACGAUGUGGGGAAGGAGCAUCUCAGUGUAGUUUUGAUUACAUUUCUCUUGACUUUCCUUGUGUACGAGAGGCAGUUAUUUCUGUUUCCGUCUCUACCUCCCCUGCCGGUCCUGCUGUGGAGUGGUUGGUCUUUUCGUCAUUAAUGUGCAGUAAUGCAACAGGAAGUGAAGACACCAUCUGCUUUGAUUCUGAUGUGUGGUGCAAGUAUAUUUCAUGCUUGGUCCUCCUUUUUAAAUUUUAUUCAUCUUUUCCUUUUUUGACCUACAGAUUUCUUCUAUCUAUCUGUAUACGGUCAGCAUAUUAAUCUUUUGUUUUAUGGUGUCUUAACGUUUACUCACACUUCUAAUCUGCACUCCAAAAUUACUCCUUUUUCUAACUCCUAUGUUUCCUUCUAGAUGUUUCAUGGUUUAACUUUUAGCGGGUUUGUGUUUUAUAUUUAAAUGCUCAGUUCAGCCCUGUCAAAUUUUGGAGCUACUUGGUCUUACUUCUGUCCUAUUUUCUACAUGUUUUCUCUUUUACUGCCUGGUUUAUAGUUUGUGUGUUCUUCAUCUUGGGUGCAUGUGCUGCUGCUGAUUAUUUCGGUUCUGGCUCAUCUUGCCGUUGCCCUCGUAACACUACUGCUCUGCGGGGUAACGUAGCUCAGAUUAGGCAGAACUUACUACUCCACCCGAAGCACCGCCACUUUCUCUACCUCCCUCCAUUACCCAAUUUUAGUUUAUCAUGUUAUUUAAAAAAUUCUCUGGGUUAGCUUCUGUCCUUUUAAUACUACUUGAUUUUCUCAGCUUUGAAUGAUUUCUUUUGACCCCCAGGACUCAGUGCUGUGAUCUCCGAGGUGUUCAACUUGUCACCAGGAGCUGGUGAGAUAGUUUAUUUGAAAGGAAAAUCCAAAAGCGUACUUAAAAAAUCAUUAGACUGGGAGGCAUGAGCCGUUAUGGCAUGAGCCAAAUGACCUAACGUUGUCAGCUAAAGCCGAGGGGUGUCCUCAGGGUCAGAUUGCACAGGAAACAGCGCAGCCCUGGCCUCCCUCUCCACGGGGCGUCUCAGGGGCUCUGGGUCAGCCUAAGCAGAGUGUCACAGGGAGGAGCCCGUCUGGAACGAUGCACUCAUCCAUGCACUCAUUCAUUCAGAGUACGUUGAUCGAGUGCCUACUGUGACGUGCGAGGGAUGCAGGAUGAACAAACCGGGCCCCUCCCUCACCACCCGCCCCCGCCUUGCACAGGGCUGGGGCCUUCUAGUGGGGUACAGCCAGCACGCAAUCAGACGUGGGUAAGGAGUCAAGUAGGUAAAUGCUAUGAACAAGAAUACAUAAAGGCGGGGGCUCCAGAUGGAUGGCGCUGACGUUUGGAGCAGGGAGCUCAGGAAAGUAGCCCCAGGAGGUGACGUUGGAGCUCUGGGUGUCCAGAGGUCAUAGAACGGGUUUGACUGAUGUGACAUCUUAGAGAAGAAGAGUCAUCUCCGUGUGGAACAAUCAGGAAAACCUCCAACCACAUGGCACUGCUGAGAGCUGGUGACUUCCUACUGUGUCGGAGCAGACGAUGCGGCUUGCUCAUCACCCAGUGCGUGAUGACACAGGCUGUCAGCUAGUGUUAGGGCCUGUGUGGCUGCUAGUUUUCCUAGGAAGGACACAGAAGUCCAGACAAAGGGACCCUUGAGGACGGGAACACCAGGAAUUCAUGGCAUUUUGUGGAAAACCUUAAAAUAG
Equus caballus (horse) is the source of this 3052-nucleotide long non-coding RNA. Lineage: Eukaryota; Metazoa; Chordata; Mammalia; Perissodactyla; Equidae. The record is from Ensembl.